UUCUGGCUCAGGAUGAACGCUGGCGGCGUGCUUAACACAUGCAAGUCGAACGAAGCGUCCCGCCCGAUGAAGUGGAGUGCUUGCACAAAGCAGAAUCAAUUGGGAUGACUUAGUGGCGGACGGGUGAGUAACGCGUGGGUAACCUGCCUUACACAGGGGGACAACAGUUGGAAACGACUGCUAAUACCGCAUAACCCGCUAGUAUCGCAUGAUACAGACGGAAAAGAUUUAUCGGUGUAAGAUGGACCCGCGUCUGAUUAGCUAGUUGGUGAGGUAACGGCUCACCAAGGCGACGAUCAGUAGCCGGCCUGAGAGGGUGAACGGCCACAUUGGGACUGAGACACGGCCCAAACUCCUACGGGAGGCAGCAGUGGGGAAUAUUGGACAAUGGGGGAAACCCUGAUCCAAGCGACGCCGCGUGAGUGAAGAAGUAUUUCGGUAUGUAAAGCUCUAUCAGCAGGGAAGAAAAUGACGGUACCUGACUAAGAAGCCCCGGCUAACUACGUGCCAGCAGCCGC
RNAcentral lists this ribosomal RNA (518 nucleotides) under uncultured bacterium. Its description in RNAcentral is "bacterial SSU rRNA". It matches the Rfam family "Bacterial small subunit ribosomal RNA", at positions 17 to 518 of the family's 1533-position model. The record is from RNAcentral.